This 429-nucleotide ribosomal RNA is filed under the name Actinomycetes bacterium. RNAcentral's name for it is "Actinobacteria bacterium partial 16S ribosomal RNA". It matches the Rfam family "Bacterial small subunit ribosomal RNA", at positions 355 to 776 of the family's 1533-position model. Lineage: Bacteria; Bacillati; Actinomycetota; Actinomycetes. The record is from RNAcentral.
UAGGGAAUCUUCCGCAAUGGGCGAAAGCCUGACGGAGCAAUGCCGCGUGAGUGAUGAAGGUCUUCGGAUCGUAAAACUCUGUUAUUAGGGAAGAUCAAAUGUGUAAGUAACUAUGCACGUCUUGACGGUACCUAAUCAGAAAUCCACGGCUAACUAUGUGCCAGCAGCCGCGGUAAUACGUAUGGGGCAAGCGUUAUCCGGAAUUAUUGGGCGUAAAGCGUGCGUAGGCAGUUUUUUUAGUCUGAUGUAAAAGCCCACGGCUCAAUCGUAGAGGGUCAUUGGAAACUGGAAAUCUGGGGUGCAGGAGAGGAAAGUGGUAUUCCAUGUGUAGCGGUGAAAUGCGUAGAGAUAUGGAGGGACACCAGUGGCGAAAGCGACUUUCUGGUCUGUAUCUGACGCUGAUGUUCGAAAGCCUGGGGAUCAAACAGG